This 432-nucleotide ribosomal RNA is filed under the name uncultured Anoxybacillus sp. RNAcentral's name for it is "bacterial SSU rRNA". It matches the Rfam family "Bacterial small subunit ribosomal RNA", at positions 952 to 1382 of the family's 1533-position model. Lineage: Bacteria; Bacillati; Bacillota; Bacilli; Caryophanales; Anoxybacillaceae. The record is from RNAcentral.
CGAAGCAACGCGAAGAACCUUACCGAGGUCUUGACAUCCCCUGACAACCCGAGAGAUCGGGCGUUCCCCUUCGGGGGACAGGGUGACAGGUGGUGCAUGGUUGUCGUCAGCUCGUGUCGUGAGAUGUUGGGUUAAGUCCCGCAACGAGCGCAACCCUCGACCUUAGUUGCCAGCAUUCAGUUGGGCAACUCUAAGGUGACUGCCGGCUAAAAGUCGGAGGAAGUGGGGAUGACGUCAAAUCAUCAUGCCCCUUAUGACCUGGGCUACACACGUGCUACAAUGGGCGGUACAAAGGGUCGCGAAGCUGUGAAGUGGAGCCAAUCCCAAAAAGUAGGUCUCAGUUCGGAUUGUAGGCUGCAACUCGCCUACAUGAAGUCGGAAUCGCUAGUAAUCGCGGAUCAGCAUGCCGCGGUGAAUACGUUCCCGGGCCUU